GAUGAACGCUGGCGGCAUGCUUUACACAUGCAAGUCGGACGGGAAGUGGUGUUUCCCGUGGCGGACGGGUGAGUAACGCGUAAGAACCUGCCCUUGGGAGGGGAACAACAGCUGGAAACGGCUGCUAAUACCCCGUAGGCUGAGGAGCGAAAGGAGGAAUCCGCCCAAGGAGGGGCUCGCGUCUGAUUAGCUAGUUGGUGAGGUAAUAGCUUACCAAGGCCGUGAUCAGUAGCUGGUCCGAGAGGAUGAUCAGCCACACUGGGACUGAGACAAGGCCCAGACUCCUACGGGAGGCAGCAGUGGGGAAUGUGCCGCAAUGGGCGAAAGCCUGACGGAGCAAUGCCGCGUGGAGGUAAAAGGCCUACGGGUCAUGAACUUCUUUUCCUGGAGAAGAAACAAUGACGGUAGCUGGGGAAUAAGCAUCGGCUAACUCGGUG
This 437-nucleotide ribosomal RNA is filed under the name uncultured bacterium. Its description in RNAcentral is "partial 16S ribosomal RNA". It matches the Rfam family "Bacterial small subunit ribosomal RNA", at positions 28 to 507 of the family's 1533-position model. The record is from RNAcentral.